RNAcentral lists this ribosomal RNA (489 nucleotides) under uncultured bacterium. RNAcentral's name for it is "partial 16S ribosomal RNA". It matches the Rfam family "Bacterial small subunit ribosomal RNA", at positions 30 to 507 of the family's 1533-position model. The record is from RNAcentral.
AUUGAACGCUGGCGGCAGGCCUAACACAUGCAAGUCGAACGGUAACAGAAAGCAGCUUGCUGCUUUGCUGACGAGUGGCGGACGGGUGAGUAAUGUCUGGGAAACUGCCUGAUGGAGGGGGAUAACUACUGGAAACGGUAGCUAAUACCGCAUAACGUCGCAAGACCAAAGAGGGGGACCUUCGGGCCUCUUGCCAUCGGAUGUGCCCAGAUGGGAUUAGCUAGUAGGUGGGGUAACGGCUCACCUAGGCGACGAUCCCUAGCUGGUCUGAGGGGAUGACCAGCCACACGGGAACUGAGACACGGUCCAGACUCCUACGGGAGGCAGCGGUGGGAAAUAUUGCACAAUGGGCGCAAGCCUGAUGCAGCCAUGCGGCGGGUAUGAAGAAGGCCUUCGGGUUGUAAAGUACUUUCAGCGGGAGGAAGGGAGUAAAGUUAAUACCUUUGCUCAUUGACGUUACCCGCAGAAGAAGCACCGGCUAACUCCGUG